RNAcentral lists this transfer RNA (73 nucleotides) under Myxococcales bacterium. RNAcentral's name for it is "tRNA-Thr". It matches the Rfam family "tRNA". From Rfam's summary of the family: Transfer RNA (tRNA) molecules are approximately 80 nucleotides in length. The record is from RNAcentral. Lineage: Bacteria; Pseudomonadati; Myxococcota; Myxococcia; Myxococcales.
GCCCAUGUAGCUCAGUUGGUAGAGCGCAUCCUUGGUAAGGAUGAGGUCAGCGGUUCGAAUCCGCUCAUGGGCU